RNAcentral lists this ribosomal RNA (507 nucleotides) under uncultured bacterium. RNAcentral's name for it is "bacterial SSU rRNA". It matches the Rfam family "Bacterial small subunit ribosomal RNA", at positions 19 to 518 of the family's 1533-position model. The record is from RNAcentral.
CUGGCUCAGGAUGAACGCUGGCGGCGUGCCUAAUACAUGCAAGUCGAACGCAUUACUUCGGUAGUGAGUGGCGAACGGGUGAGUAACACGUAGGUAACUUACCUCUAAGACGAGGAUAACGACUGGAAACGGUCGCUAAAACUGGAUAGGAUCAUUUGAGGCAUCUCGAAUGAUUUAAAGGGGCUUUCAAGCCACACUUAGAGAAAGGCCUGCGGCGCAUUAGCUAGUUGGUGGGGUAGAGGCCUACCAAGGCGAUGAUGCGUAGCCGGACUGAGAGGUCGAACGGCCACAUUGGGACUGAGACACGGCCCAAACUCCUACGGGAGGCAGCAGUAGGGAAUCUUCCGCAAUGGACGAAAGUCUGACGGAGCAACGCCGCGUGAGUGAAGAAGGUUUUUUCCGGAUCGUAAAACUCUGUUGUCAGAGAAGAACAAGUUGGAGAGUAACUGCUCCAGCCUUGACGGUAUCUGACCAGAAAGCCACGGCUAACUACGUGCCAGCCGCUGC